Molecule: long non-coding RNA, 18965 nt
Filed under: Malus domestica (apple)
Lineage: Eukaryota; Viridiplantae; Streptophyta; Magnoliopsida; Rosales; Rosaceae
Source: RNAcentral
UUCGUAUCAUUUCGAGCUAUUUUUAGCUCUAUGAGGGGUCAGUUGGAGAUGGCGUUCCGAUCCACAAACCAAGCUCCACCUCAUCAAUACUUAAAAUAAUUUGAUGCAUUACUUUUGUUUCCUUUCUCAAUUUGAAGGCCCAAACAAGAAACAAAGCAACACUAGACAAAGACAACUGUUGUAUAAUGGGUGUUUUAGAAACUCAAAAGCUUAAAUUUUUUGUCGUGCUCUUUAACUUUCUCUUUUACUGCUAUACAUGAGAAAACAAGAGAGAUUUAAUAUGAGUAAAGGGAUACUUUACUUCUUGAGAUACAAGUUUAUUGGGUUUCUUCUAAGGAUCUUGGGUUUCUUUAUCUGUAAAGAAGUUGGGUUUUUGGUUGUUUAAUUAAUUUCAACCAAAAUUGCAAGAUAAAAAGGAAUACAAAGGAGAAGACACACACACACACAUAUAUAUAUAUGUUUUUUUUUAAGAUGAUAACAUAUUCGUGGAUAGAACUGAGAAGAUAUAUAAACCGACAAACAAGUUUGUUUAUCUUAGGAAAGUAACAAUAUUUCCAUAGUCACUUUCAGAUUAUUACAACUUUGACGUCGAAAAUAAGAAAAUUUAGGGAAUGUUGUUUUCUUAUUAGUUAGGGUUUCUAUAAUACGUGUCGGAUUCUUUUACCUAAGUUUUUAUCUGUCAGAUUAGUCACGAAGGCUUACUGCCACAUCAAAUGAAAGGUAAUGAAAGCAGAAAACUGAAAACAAAAUAUCGAAGUUGACUGCUGGUAGGAUGAAUUUGCAGUUAAAUUUCAUUGAAAACAUUAAACUUGACAAGGAUUACCAGAACCAUAUAAUUACCACAUAACAAGAACACAAAGGAAAUGAAAAACUUGAAACAAAAGUUGACAAACAAACAACCAACGACAUAAGAAAACAGACUGCAUACUUUUCUUUUGACCAUUUUUUAGUACCCUCAAAACUAAUUCGCAAGUUAGUUAAUCACCAUAAGUGAUAAUGCUGUCCAUAAUCUUGGCCACCACGUCCUUCGAAUCCCUCAGUUUUUUUAUGCUUCUGUUAAGCUUCUCACGCUUUACUGCUACUGCCGGUGACUCCUCCAACAUCCUCUCAAUUCCCCCACCGUAAGGUCCCAUCAACUCCUUCACAAUCUCAGCUUCCAUCUCUUUGUUCACAAGGUUGAAAACAGACAGCUGCAAGUGCAAUGCCAUGGAGUCCACAAGCCUCCUCAAAACAACCUUCCAAUAGGCAAUCAUUCUCAUUUUAAGGUCAUAAGCUUGAGCUAACACAUGCGGGUACUUCCUCAGAACACCGACUUCCACUUCCCCGAUGCCUACUAUAUCUAUGAUAGAAGGUUUCUUCUCAUCAGUUAAGACUCCAUGAAUGAAUUCGUUUUGACUAGCCAUCAACUUGUUCCAUUCGGAAACAUAAUCACCAUCACAUGUAUAAUCUGUCAGCUUUUCCAUCUCUACAAGCUCCAGCAUCCACUUGAUUGAUCUCUCCUUCAUCUUGGCCAUUAGACUAUGGCCGGCACGCCUUGCUGAUAACUGCAGCUGAUGAUAGUUAUCCGUAUAAUGCAUCAACACAGAAAUAACCACCUCUUCAAUGUAGUUCCACACUUUUUCCUCAAAUGCAAUCGGAAUACUCGAAAUUUCAUUCACUUUUGCCUGCAAGAUAAUGAGGAAAGCAUUGCGUGGAAGGAAGUUCGGAAGUGAAAUACCUUUGGCCUCCUCCAAGAUCUUGAUCUCCUCCAUCAAGAAGUUGCUCUUUGCAUCAGUUUCAGCACAUCUGUGAAGUUCAUCCGAGUACUGGUUGAGCAUCUCAACCAAUCUAGCAGUGCAGUGCAUGCGAUUAUCUUCGGCGUACUCCUCAAAUUCUCCUCUCAAAAGAAUCUUCCUAAGCGAUUCCUUAGCCAAGCCAAUGAUUUGCAUAAAGGCCGUCAUUGCCUCGGCAACAGACGAAAGACUCUUUGGCAUUUUGUUCAGCAUCAUAAUGCAGAAGUUCAGCCUGUCAUUGAUCUUCUUCACUAUCUCAGGUAUAUUUCUUGCUAUGCUGUUUGCUUGAAUUUGGACCAGCUUCUGUGCUAAAACUGGAAUGCCGACAAUGGACUUGUCAAUCUUCGAAAGCAGAGGAUGGGUUUGAAAUAGUUCAUGAGCCAUCACCGCUGCCUCCUCAUAAGUUUCGUCACCAAUCCUGUUCCUUACACAGACAUAACCAAGACCAAUGUUUACAUCAUCUCCAGUGACCUUCUCAAGUAGUCCUUCCGGUGCCUUGUCCACUUUCGUAACCACAGCGAGCGUCCUCUCACCAGUUUUAUCUACACUUUGUGACAUCCGGAUUGACUCACAAGUAGUAAAAUCCACCGUAGCAGACAAUACAUUCAGAAUAAUACUUUCCUCCGGCUUAAUAUACUCCAUGAUCAUAUCUUUGAUCUGAUCAUAGAUAUUUUCAGGUUGGCCAUGGACUGGAACCCUUGUGAUUCCCGGAAGAUCAACCAUAGUCAGAUCCGGAACCCCAUUCUUCUUCACCAACAAAGUAAGUGGCAUGUUUGAAAUUCCCUUACCUCCCCCCGCAAUAGAAUUAGUCGCUUUCACAAUAUCUUUGGCGAUAUUUUCUUCAUCAGUACGAUCAACUCUGCCAUUGUACUCCAAGGAAAGUUCAGGCUGAGGACUCGAGUGGUGUUCCAGCCUCAUAAUAAGAGGCACUCUCGUGCAGAUGCCUUGGCCCCGAGGUAGGCUGAUGCCGGCCAAGGAUUCGAGCACGCUAGACUUCCCGGAUGACUGGUCUCCGACCACCACAAUCGUUGGCAGCUGAAUGCCUUCAUCCAUCACCUUCAAGCUGCGUAACUUGUCUACCGCAUCCAGAAGAGGGCGGAUCUUGUCGUUAUAGGACGACACAAUGGGUGCGCAUUUGAGAGGUACUACGUCUAGUCCUGCCUGAACCAUUGCGAGUGAGCCUUCACCGUUUAAGACUGUGUAACUCGAUUCCAUUUACCUUCGUCCUUCCGUUUCUGAAUUAUAGGAUGUCGAAACAAUGGUGAAAAUCCAGAGGGAAACCGAGAUUACUUGUCAGAGAAGAUAUCAGUCAGGAAGAAGUGAGAAAGCUGGUUUUAGUAAGUGCCUUAAGGUUAAAGGCUCCUAGUUGUAUGUAUAAUUGUUCAGCAAAACCUAUCGAAGUAAAUGACAACCAGCCGUUUCAAAGGCUCCUAGUAGUAUGUAUAAUUGUUUAGCAUUUUGAAGAUGCUACAUGAAAUGUCGUUUUUAGCCCUUUCCUUUAUCUUUUUUAUUUUUUUUCCCGCGUGUUGCUCGGCUUUGCCGUUUUGCCUUUUUUAUUCUAGGUAUUUAUUUCCUUUUUCUCUCUUGACUUCCCCUCGCACACUUCCAUGCAAUCCCUGUCGCCAUUGUGGCACAAAACACAAUAAAAAAUUAUAAAUAAAUUAGAUGCAUUCGCAAAAUAAUUAUUAAAAAUUUUGAGAAGCCCACCUGUCUUCCAUUGCUUUGCCUUUUGGUUAUUUUAUUUUUUGGUUUUGCUGUUUUUUUUGUCUUCCACGCCGAGCCUGCAAUGGUUUGUGGCAAACAACACAUAGGGGGUGGGUUCAAAAAACCGAAAACCGAAAAAAAUCGAAAAUCAAACCGAAUCGAAACCGAACCGAACAAAAAAACCGAACCGAAUUGAAAAAACCGAACCGAACCGAAUUAAUUAAAUUAAUAUUUUUUUAAAUUUUAUUUAUUUAAUUAUUUGUUUUGGGUAUUGUUUUUUAAACCCAAUUUGUAAUAUUUUUAAACCCAAUUUUAUUUGUUUUGGAUAUUAUUUUUUAAACCCAAGUUGUAAGCCCAAUGUGUUACCAAAUACUUACUACCCUUUUCUCAUUUUUCUCACACUCCAAUUUUACUUCUAAUUAUUUAUGGUUUGUUUGUUUCAUCACUAAACCAGUUGCUUUCCAUUUGUCUCUUGAUCAAUCAUGUUCUUCUUUGUUUGUCUUUUUAUUGUUUGAAUUGAAAUUAUGAGUGAUUUGGAGUAAUAAUCAUAGGGUAAUCAAAUUUACUUGUACAACUUCUCUCUCUUUGCACUCCAGUCCAUUUACUUUCAUAUCUCUGCUGAGUAAAAAUUGAGGGGGAGAGAGAGAGUUAAACAUUUUAAAUUUUAUUUUUUGUUGCUUGACUUUGUAAAAGACUGAAACUUUCACUGCAUUCUCUUAGAAAACUAAACAUACUAUUGGAUUUGAUGGUUGUUUGUGAUUUGGGUUUUACUGCUUUGUUUGCCCUUUAUUAAUAAUCAUGUAAUGUUUGAGUGAUCUAUUUUGCUCAAAAGUUUUAGGACUUUCCUUGAUAUUUUUUAAGAAACCAAACAAGGAUUAACCCUAUGUAUACUUUGUUUGUUUGCUUGAUGUGAAAAAAAAAUAUCCAAAACAAAUAAUUAAAUAAAUAAUACUGAGAAAAAGAGAAUUUAAAAUAUCAUUACUUUUUAAACCCAAUUUCUCAAGAACCAAACAAAGAUUAACCCUGUGUAUACUUUGUUUUUUUUUAAAAACCCAACCAUGAUGUAAAAAAAACCGAAACCGAACCGGAAAAAACCAAACCGAAAAAAAAAUAAACCGAACCGAAAUUUCGGUUCGGUUUCGGUUUUGGCAAAAAACUGAACCCACCCCUAACAACACGUAUAAAAAAAAUUAUUUGCCCAAAAAAAAAGAUUACAUGGACAAAACAAUUAUUAAAAAUUGAGAUAUUUGUCCCCUUUUUCUCUCCUGACUUCCCCUGCUUCCCUGCAUUCUUGCCAUGUCGCCUGUUGCAGGGAGAAGGUGAGAAUUGGUUGUGCCACGUGUUGGUGAUCAUGUUGUUUACUUUUUGGGGUUUAUAUUGGUGGAGGCACAUUCUCUGCCUUCUUAAUUUCGGUGUCCUCCUGUUUUGUGUGGUCACGGUUAAAUCAUUUCAACAUUUUAUAUUAUUUUUUAAUAGAGAUAAUAAGACAAAAAAGAAUAGUAAUAUAUAAUGUUGAUCUGACUUAACCUUGACCACACAAACAGGAGGGCACGGGAGAGCACUGAAAUUGGGAGGGCAGAAAAUCUGCCUCCUAUAUUGGUUCAUUUUAGUACCGUUUGGUACGCAGACGGGACGAAAGGGAACAAGACGGGAUGAGACGGGACGAAACAGUGGUUCCAUGUUAUAUUUGGUAUGUACAGGACAGAACGGGAAAGUUGUUCCGUUGUGGGUUUGGUAAGCGCAAGACGGAACGGAACCAAAAGAAUAAAAUGAUUAACUUACCCCUGUUUCGUCUGUUGUUUGGUACAAUAUUUAGGCUUGGUAUGGGACGGAACAAUUUCAUUAUUUUUUCACCUUCUUGCUGCUGCUUAUCUAUGAUAUAUUUUGUACACUAUACUUGGAUGUGUUCAUAUUUCAUACCGUGUAUAACAGAAAACAAGAGACAUGUAUUUGUACUUUAUGUUGCUCAUAUAAUUAAUUUAGUGGGAUAAUACGUCAAUUAAUUUUAUGUGAUUUAAAAAAAUAAUAUGGUGAGAGCAUGCCAUUGGCUUGGCACUUUGGAACAUGGCAGUGUAGCCACAAUAUGUAUAUGUGAUGAAUUACAUAUGAAAAGGUUGGUGUGGUAGAACAACCGUUGAUGCAAUGGCUAUGUUGGAAUCUUUGACACAAUCUGCUUUCAUCUCUUCAUCAUCACAUUGAAAUGCAAAUUGUGUCAAACAAUAUGUAUAUUAUAAGUUGAGAUGUGAGUCAAUUGGAUGUCUAUGGCAAUGGUUGUCAUGCAAGGAUGAAAAAUAUAGAAGUUUAAUGAUAUUAUCUUGCUAAAGCAAUAAACAUGAAAUAUCCAGAGCUUAAACAUGAAAUCCCAAAUUAAACAUUCAUCUUGACUUAAAGAAAAAAGAAAAGAAAGAUAAUGUCUUACUAAACCCCAGAAGUUGAUAUAGUUCAUUCAUAUCAUACUAAACCCCCUAAUGCUCAGAUGUCAUCCAUAAAUAUUUUAAUGAAAUCUGCCUUGUGAGAGUCAUCCAGGGUACACCAAAUACUCAACAUAUCAGUAUUUUUCACUAAUUUUUAUUGAAAUUUUCAGCACUUGAUCAUAUGGGAGACCCAUGGCCUGAACUCGAUACAAAAAAUUUAGUCUCAUAUUCAUCUAUACCUUCACAUGAAAAAAAAACACAUGAAUGAAUGGAGCAUCAACAUACGUGGGAUUCAAUUACAAGCAUAUGAUUAAAUGGUAAAACAAAGUGGAGCUUCAUAUCCUAAUUGCAAUUCUUAAAGUGGAGCAUCAACUUUGUCAUGCACUGAAAAUCUGAGUGAUACCAUAUGAGGAUUCGAGUAAUGCUAUAUGACCCAAAUGCAGUUCAGUCUACAUUAUUAAAAGAUGGCAGUCCGAACAACAAGAAUGUACCAGCUUUAACAAUGACUUCUAAGUUUUGCAUAUGCUGAAGUUAAGAAUAUUCAAGCAUCAAAUAUGGCAGUCUGAACUCAAUACACUAUAAGACCUUACAUAAAUAGGUGACUACAUUAUUAAAACAUACCAGCAGUACUGCAAUAAAUAGUGAGCCAUACUAUUAACGAUCAUUUAUGACACGCCCCGAUCCCGAUGUCCUGUAGACAUCGAGAUGGUCACGUGUUGGCCGACACCCGAGGGGUGACGUAAGCCAUUCGAUUAAAGUAAAAACCCAUAAAAUGCUCACAAGCAUGAAUAAUAUAGCUCAAACCAUAGCAAUUAAACGUAAAGCAGCAGAAACAUAAUUACAUUAAAAUAAUAUUCAACUGCCAACACAAAACAAAACAAGAUACAACAAACCCUGUCCAGAGCAUACGUCUAAUAUAGAUUACAAAAGAAAGAAUAUAAAUUGAAUAACAAAAGGAGUGGAUCCUACAAUGAGAGGACUCAAAGAUGCCAAUGCAGAAGUGUCUUAACGCCGGGAUUGUAUGCCUCGAAUCUAAGCCCUAAAGGGGGCGCAAAACAAAGGUGAGUGGACCAAUUUGAUAUACAUAUAAGAAACAAUUAUCAACAUACUAUCCCGCAGGUUUUAUGAAAACUCAUAUAUAUCAUGAUAAACAUAGGUUUAUCGAAACCUAGAAUGUCGUGCAAUAUUUCAAUUCAUAACUCGCCAUGCAAUGUCUCAAUUCAUAACUCGUCGUACAAUAUCUCAAUUCAUGAUUUGCAUAUAAUAAUCACUAGUGUCAAAUGUUCACAUAUAUCCCUCCUGGCCCUAUGCCAUCUCCCCGUCCCUGAGCAUACAGUUAGAGGAAAAUAUCGCUUCAGGCCCUAUGCCAGCUCCCCGUCCAUGUGCUAAAUAGCCAGAGGAAACACACUCCAGGCCCUAUACCAACUCCUCCGUCGCUUGGGAUGGACCGGAAUCUAUCUCUCAUCCCGUAGCGGAAAUUGGGACCACUAGGUAAUAUAGAACCAUUGCACAUACAUCUCAUAAACAUUCUCAUAAACUCAUGCUUCUCAUGUAUGCAUUUCUACUAAUAAAACAUGCAUUUUUAGAAAGGGGUCACUCACAGUACUUCGCCGUCGAAAGCCGCGCUGCUAGCGAAGAAACAGUGCCACAAUAUAUGCACUUAAGCACAUAAAGGGUUCAACACAGUCAAACUCUAUUCAGAUGAUUUAAUUUAGGAAAACAGACUUAAAAAACGGAUCUAAGACGUCGAAAUUAACCUACGAGGGAAAUUAACCUACGAGGGGUCCUGAACGAAAUCCAAAAAGUCAACUCAGAACAGUCAACGAUCAACGGGUCAAAGUCAACGGGUCGGGUCAACCGAGUUUUGGAUUGGAUUUGGAUCUGGGUAUAGGGUUUGGGUUUUUGGGUCACGGGCCAGAGGCCCUAAUUGAAGGAACCCAAAAGGGUUCCCUGGGUUUGGGUUACACGGGCCAAAGGCCCUGGUCUUCUCGGCCCAAGGCUUUAAGCCUAGGGUUUGGGUUUUAGCUGCCAAGGCCCUAAGGGCUUUUGGGUUUCGAAUUGAACGGGCCGAAGGCCCCAACUAAAAUAAAAAAAUGUAACGAGCUAGGGAACUGGGUCUGCUAGCAAUGGGCCUAAUGCCCAAAAUAAAAUGGCCCAAAGGCCUUGUGAAUUAACAAGCAAAAUAAUUAAAAUAUAAAUAAAAGAAAAUGGGCUGGGUUUGCAACGGGCCUAAGGCCUGAGGGGGUUUGGGUCGGUCCGAAGGCCUGGGUGCGCCGGGGGAAAAACCAGAGGACACCGAAGCUGCUACAGCUCUGGCUGACUACAAACGGAGGUCUAGUGCUCCAAUCUAGCUACCAAAAUGGAGUACAAGAAGAGGGGAGUACUUUGGUACCUUCAAAUCGAAUUGAAUUGACCGGAUUUGCUCAGAAAAGUCCACGGCGCUCACAGGUUCGUCGGAGAAAUGGGUGUGCUCACCCCGUGUGUCGAUCUCGACCUAAACCUCAGAAAAAUCAUGAAAGUCACUUCCAAUUUCUCAAUCAAACACAAUUUAACCCUGAGUGAGAACGAUCGGAGGCUUACCUAGCCGGAAAAAAAGAAGAUUCGCCGGAGGUUUCCUGUGUUGUUUUUCCUUCGUGCGUGCGUGCGUGUUCACGGGAGGGAUGCGAGGGAUACGGGAGAGAGAUGAGAGAUUUAGUUUCGAGAAAGACUGAGGGAAUACAGAGAGAAAGAGAGAUGAUAGGGAUAGGUGAUGUGGGAAAUGGAGGACAUAAUCAGGGUGGGCCCCUUGGGCUUACCAUUUAAGGCCCAAAACAAUAUUUUAUAAAAAGAAGGAGGGUGGGGUGUAACAAUUUAGCUUAUUAUCCCCCACUCAAGACAGGGCCAGGCCAUUAUUAUUAACAGUUUGAGGUUAAAUACAAAAAUCCUACGUAUUCGUCCGAUCAAUCUGUGGGAGAAGAAAUUUCAAGAUAGGAAGAUAAUAUCUUUCCUUGCUAUAAAAAAACUUCAUUUAUUUCUAAAAGCCAGUGGUAGAAUAACUAUCAACUUGGGGCCACAUCACACAUACACGGUACAACAUUGGUCUCUCUUUAACCUUUGUUAUAAAAACGCAUCUAAGGUCAUUAAAACAAUUCAAACAUGCUCCUUCCACUAACUGAACAACCAAAGAAUGCUGUUCUUCACUAGACAUACUGAUCAACUAUAACAAAACUCACGAUGAUAAGUAAUAGGUACGGUGAAUACAAUCAAAUAAAAUAUGUUGCAAGAUGUAGAACUUUGCAGAAAUAUUAAUGUAAAGAAAGAACAAAAAAUAUUCGAGGCAAACAAGUUACUCGUCCCUAAGAAAAACCCUCAAAUUACUUGAUUCUUCCAACAUAGAAUCCAAUCCAACAUAGGAAAAUCCUAAACAUGUAACCCAAUCCAAUCCAACAGAACCCAAAGACAUCAGAUUUAUAGAUUUUAGCACAUAAAAAAUGAAACUUGAACACUAGAAAACCAGAUAGAGAGAUACCUCUGAAUGUAGUACUGCUCAAUAGGGGGAGUGGAAUGAGAUAAACAGAGGCGGAUCUUUGGUUUCAGAUGCAGUAUUGGGUAGAUCGAAGCACUACAAAAUACAAAGAAAAAAAAAAAAAAAGCAAAUCAGAAAAGAAUACAAAGAAAUCGAAGCACUAAAAAAUACAAAGAAUUUCAGCAGAAUUAGGAACUGGGUGUUAAUGAAAUCGAAGCAAGCAAAUCAGAAAAGAAUAAUAAUGCCACUUCAAGCAACAGCAAACACCAAACCAAGAGAGAAAGUACUACAAAAUACAAAGAAAGAGAGAUCGAGAGACUACACAAUCACUAUCAGAUUGAACCUGGAACGGAGAUGCAGAGCUGAAAGUUCACAGAGAAGCUACAUGGAAAAGGAUGAGGAGGAAGGUUGCGAAGGGGAGAUGCAGGAGGAUGAAUAAGUUCACAGCGACAGAGAGAAGAGAAAUGAUAGUUAGGGUUUGUCGUAUGAUAUAGAUGGUGUAAAUAUUGAAAAAGCUAAGGGGUAUUUUUGCCUUAAAAUUUUAUGAUUUUUGUGUUCCACGUGAUGGAACAACCCGUUCCCGGGGGAGAGGGGAGGUGGCACCAAAAUUUAACCCAUUUUCUUUCCGUGGGACAGCGCGUUCCACAUAAUUUAGGGCACCAAACAUGGGACGGAACACGUCCAUCCCACUCCGUUCUGUCCCAUCCAACGUACCAAACGCACCAUUUCCGUUUCAGCUUAGUUCCCUUUUUGUUUGCACAUUUGUGCAUUGAAAAGUCGAUUAUGCCCUUUGCUGGGUGCUAUCUUCCUUAUUUCAGUUCCUCAUAGUUUAAGCGGCUGUUUCUCAGCCCACGUGUCGGUUAUCGUGAGGUUUGGUCUUCCAUCUAUAUCCACCCUGCUUUGUGAAGCUGCUGGAAAUGUCUUCCAUUUUGAGCGUUUUCUUAAUUUUUUUCGUACUUUGUGUGUGGAUGUUUGAUCUAAUUUCAUUUUUUUGUUUCAAGAAACGUUGGCCUUCGAAUUUUAAGGGUUUAUUGUACAAGCUUGCAAGCCCUUUCUGGGUGAGGUAUAUAAUUUUUGUUUUUGUUCUUAAAUCUUUUUCCAAUAGAAUUUUAAUUGUUUUUUUGGUCCUGUUUUGUUUUUGGUGUGAUGAUUAAUUAUUGGGCGGUGAAGCAUCAACACGUACACAAAAUGGGUGUAGCGGAGAUGAGGAUGCUUCGUUGGAUGUGUGGGCACACGAGAAAGGAUAAGAUUAGGAAUGAGGAUAUCCGGGGUAAAGUAGGAGUAGCCGAAAUUGAAGGAAAGAUGAGAGAAAAUCGGUUACGAUGGUUUGGACAUGUGCAAAGAAGGCCUACUGACGCUCCGAUUAGAAGAUGCGACUAUGGGACAGAGGUUCAGGGCCGAAGGGGUAGAGGAAGACCUAGGAAAACUUUGGAAGAGACCCUAAGAAAAGACUUAGAGUACUUGGAUCUAACGGAGGACAUGACACAGGACAGAACACAAUGGCGUUCUAAGAUUCAUAUAGUCGAUCCCACUCAGUGACUUGGAUUUUCCAAGUCUCCAACCGAGAAGUUUUCCUCACUCGGGAAAUUAAGGGAACACUACCUCAACCUACAUGCUCCACUCAUAAAGCUUCAACAUACAAACUUCAACAAAAGAAAAUUCAAAGAACUUAGCGAAGAAGGCUUUGGUGUAUUUAACACAAUACGUUGAAAUGAAGGAAAACUUAUUUAUUGAUAUCCCUGAUAAGUUACAAAUAUGUACAUAUACAUGAGUCAAAAUAAACAAACAAGAGGGAGCCUUCACAAAUGUUGUUUAGGAGAAGUCUUAGCAGUCGGUAGAGCCCCAGAAAGAGAAGGCACCGGACGGGGAUCAUUCGGAGCCUCAGUACUGGACAGAACCCUAGAAGGAGGAGGCAUCAGAGGUUGAUCAUUUGGAGCUUCAUUACGCGGUACAACCCCAGAAGACGAAGGCAAUAAAUGCCUUUGGAACAAACCCACAAAUCUCUGAUGAUCAAGUAAAACCUGACCAUCAGAUUCCUUCAUCUGGUCAAGCUUCCUCUUCAUGUUUGUAGCAUAGUCAUGUGCGAGCCGGUGCAACUGUUUAUUCUCAUGCUUGAGCCCUCUAAUCUCCUGUUUGAGACUCAUCACUUCAGCCGCCAAUGAUUCAACUUGGCGGGUUCGAGCAAAUAGGCGUUGGACCAUAUUAGACACAGAACCUGCACACUGAACACUGAGAGCCAGAGAAUCCUUAACAGCCAACUCAUCAGACCGUUUGGAAAGUAGUCUGUUAUCUUUGGGAGUGAGAAGGUUCCUGGCCACUACCGCAGCGGUCAUAUCAUUCUUCAUCACGGAAUCCCCAACGGUAAGAGAACCAGUAGGGGAGACGAAUGAUGGGCGUCAUAUGUUGUCUGGAGAAGGCGGGGCUGUCUCUUCAACAAGGUUCAAGUCAAAACGACGGUCGGAGGGGCCAGACAUUUUCAAAGGUGUUGAAGAGAGAAGAGGUCGGACAAAUCAAGAUCUUAGAAGUGCAAGAAUGAAGCUUCUACUGGUGGAGAUUCAAGUGUGCUUUGGAACUUAAUGCCAGCCCCUAUAAAAAUCUGCACUCGACGAAGCUUCAGAAAUCGAAGAGGCGCCUGCUCAGAAAUCGAAGAGGCGUUUGCUUUCUCAAAAGCUGGGCUGCUCAGAGACCACGAGGGUCGAUCUCAGAAAUCGAAGAGGCGUUUGCUUUCUCAAAAGCUGGGCUGCUCAAAGACCACGAAGGCCGAUCUCAGAAAUCGAAGAGGCUUGCUUUCUCAAAAGCUGGGCUGCUCAGAGACCACGAGGGCCGAUUUCAGAAAUCGAAGAGGCACAUACUUUUCCAGCCUUGUCAGCACCUGCCACACGCACACUCAGCUUUGCGGAAAUUAUGGGCAUUCUGUCGAAGAUUUCUGGUGAAGUAGAAAACACAUGAAUCGUACUGUUCAAUCACCCACUUCCCACACGCAACAGUAGCUCAUGGGUACCACAUAUAACUUUGCCAAAGUUAUCUGACAAAGUUGAGACACGUGAAGCUUGCAGCUCUCACUACAUCGCUCUGACCAAGAAGGGUAAAAGAAUAGCAAAGAAACAACACUAACAAAGUUUAGACACAUAAAUUUUGAAGGUCUAGCUACCAUAUUAUUACCCAUAAGGGUAAAGGAACAGUACCACUGCUGGAUAAUUGGAAGGUCCCGGUGUGUCAACCUCUGUACUUCGUGGCAAGGUAGACUAGCAAACAUGCCCAACCUUUACUCACAUUCAAGAAAACACUCCCAACAAGAUUGCUUGCUCCAAAAUCGAAGAGGCACCGCUUUCCGAAUCUUGAGAGCCAGACUCCCAACAUGAUUACUUUCUAAAAAAUCGAAGAGAGGGUAAAGGAACAGUAACACUGCUGGAUAAUUGGAAAGUCCCUGUGUGUCAACCUAUGUGCUUCGUGGCAAGGUAGACUAGCAAACAUGCCCAACCUUUACUCACAUUCGAGAAAACACUCACAACAAGAUUGCUUGCUCCAAAAUCGAAGAGGCAUCGCCCUCCGAAUCUCGAGAGCCAGACUCCCAACAUGAUUACUUUCUCAAAAAUUGAAGAGAGGGUAAAGGAACAGUACCACUGCUGGAUAAUUGGAAAGUCCCUGUGUGUCAACCUCUGUGCUUCGUGGCAAUGUAGACUAGCAAACAUGCCAAACCUUUACUCACAUUCGAGAAAACACUCCCAACAAGAUUGCUUGCUCCAAAAUCGAAGAGGCACCGCCCUCCGAAUCUCGAGAGCCAGACUCCCAACAUGAUUACUUUCUCAAAAAUCGAAGAGACACCGCUCUCCGAAUCUCGAGAGCCAGACCCCCAACAGGAUUGCUUUCUCAAAAAUCGAAGAGGCAUCGUUCCCCGAAUCUCGAGAGCCAGAUCCCUGACAGGAUUGCUUGUUCGAAAACCGAAGAGGCACCACUUUCCCAACUUCAAGAGCUGGAUCUCCUUGGAUAAAGCUUGUCUGUAAUCUUCACACGCAACAUCAGCUUUCCAGAGACCACAGACCACUUUUUCAAAGUGCUCCGACAGAGUUAAAACAUGUGAAGCUGGCAGCUCCCACUACCGUGCUAUGACCAAGCAGGGUAAAGGAAUAGCAUUAUUACUUGAUGUUAGUGAGACUCCUAUAUAUGUCGACCUCCAUCCCCAACGGACAGGCAGACCUGCAAAAAUGCUCAACCAUUCCUCUUAUAUGAGAGGGCACUCCCAACGAAGCCUUUCGAAAUAUUCAACUUUCUUUCCCCUCGAUAAUACCUCUGCAAACAAGCUAUACUAGAGCAAGAAUAUCUCAUAUCAUCAGGGUUAAAAGCAAGAGUAUCCCAUAUCAUGCUUUUUCCCUGUCUUUUCCUUUGGCCUUGUUCUUACCUGCAAGACAAGGAGAAAGAGAGCAAUCAGUCAGCACUUGGAAUCAAGCUUCCAACCAGGAAUUGAUUGCCUAGAACCCCUUACCUGAGUACUUACCUGGCAUUGCUCUCGAGUACUCAUCUUCAACAUCUUAUGCUUCCAGGGAAGAUACCGCAUCUGCCUAAGGAACAGAUAGGUCAAGUGAGAAGGAUACAAAGAAGCAUGUGGAGACAAGCGUAACAGCACACGUGCCGAUACAUCCACUACUCUGUCAAAAGCAAAAGUAUCCCAUAUCAGCAGGGUCGAACGUACUCUAGAUUUGAUGGACUUGUUUUGACCCUCAAAUUCUUCAGUCGGCCUUAUACUCUGGAGGAAACCAGAAAACCCUCAAGCCCAGUUCAAGAAUAAGCCUGUGGAAAGUUACUUCUUCAAAAGCAAAAGUAUCCCAUAUCAUCUCUUCUCAUUUUUCUUCUCUUUAUCCUUCCUGCUGCCUGCAAGAUAGGGAGAAUGUGAACAAUCAGCCGGAGCUCUGAUUUCUUACCUUGUCUGUCACAUCUUUUAGCAGAUCCCCUAGCCCGGCGACUUGGGGGACUCCUACUACAUGGUUUGUAUCGUGCUUGACCAAGCCUGAAACUACAAGUAAGCUUCAAGUGAAAUUGAUACAUUACCUUGUGCAUCUCCACCAGUUAAAGAUACCACCCCUGGAUGGAGGAAGAGUACUUCCAGAGAAGAUGUCACAUCUACCUAUGAGACAGAUAAGGCAAGUCAAGACGAUACCACACUCCGGUACUUAGAAGUUUUGUGAUUACGAGAUCAUUUUCCCACAAUAUUUCCUAAUGUCAUUUGUACUAAAUCAUUCACUUGUACUCACUAAAGGAGAGCUUGAACCUAUGUACUUGUGUAAACCCUUCACAAUUAAUGAGAACUCCUCUAUUCCGUGGACGUAGCCAAUCUGGGUGAACCACGUACAUCUUGUGUUUGCUUUCCUAUCUCUAUCCAUUUAUAUACUUAUCCACACUAAUGACCGGAGCAAUCUAGCGAAGAUCACAAAAAGCGACCGUUUUCGCUACCUAGGAUCUAUCUUGCAAGAGAAUGGAGAAUUAGAUGGAGAUCUCAACCAUAGAUUACAAGCUGGAUGGAUGAAGUGUAAGAGUGCAUCCGGCAUGUUGUGUGACCGUCGUAGGCCACUGAAGCUCAAGGGAAAAUUUUAUAGGACGACAAUAAGGGCAGCGAUGUUGUAUGGCACCGAAUGUUGGGCGGUGAAGCAUCAACACAUACACAAAAUGGGUGUAGCGGAGAUGAGGAUGCUUCGUGGGAUGUGUGGGCACACGAGAAAGGAUAAGAUUGGGAAUGAGGAUAUCCGAGGUAAAGUAGGAGUAGUCGAAAUUGAAGGAAAUAUGAGAGAAAAUCGGUUCCGGUGGUUUGGACAUGUGCAAAGAAGGCCUACUGACGCUCCGGUUCGAAAAUGUGACUACGGGACAGAGGUUCAGGGCCGAAGGGGUAGAGGAAGACCUAGGAAAACUUUGGAAGAGACCCUAAGAAAAGACUUGAGUACUUGGAUCUAACGGAGGACAUGACACAAAACCGAGCGCAAUGACGUUCUAGGAUUCAUAUAGCCGACCCCACUUAGUGGGAAAAGGCUUUGUUGUUGUUGUUGUUGUUGUUGUUGUGUUUAGUUUGCGGAUCUAUUUUCUAUAAAAAAAAUUGGUGAUAAUUGAUUUUGAGGUUGUGUUGUAUAUGGAUUUUUAGUGUGGGUAUAUGAUUUGGUUUUUUUAUUUUGAGGAAGCAGUGGCCAUCGUUUUUUACCGCUUAUAUAUAUAUUAUUCCAGAAGCUUGAGGUAUAAAAUCUUGAAAUUGCUCACCUUAAAUAGACAGCGGCGUGCAUAUGUAGUUUAUCAUCGAAUAAUCAACCUCUCAUCACUAAAUUAACGUUUAAGUUUGUUUUUAAUUUAGUUCACAAAUGAAUCAACCAAGUUUUCAUGCCAUAUUGAUACGAAAUUAUAAAGAAAUGUCGAUCAUAUUUUGUUUGUUUGUUUUCCUUCUUUUGAGAUCUAUUAUUCAUAUAUAUCAUAGAUGAUGAAGAAUAAAAGAAAUUAAAUGCCGCUUUGGAUGAUAAGUUGAUGUUGAUGACAAGUACUAUUGAUGAUACCCACUAUUUCUCAUCUGUUCUAAUGCUGCAGGUAUGUAUAUUAUGUAACAAGUUCUCUAUCAGUUUGUUAAUAUCCAUAACCAAUACAGGUUUUCAAACACUUACACAGGUUUGUAUUUCAGUGAAAAAAUUGUAGGAAAAACAAAAGGAGGUUGAGCCUAUCUACAUAGUGAGUCGAAAGAAAAAUUAAACUCAACAACUAGAGAAUGAGAAUGGUUUGAUGAAAAAUAGGAAAUGAACACAUAUAAGGUAAUGUCACAAGGUGAGAUUUCAGUAUGAAUUUUUCAUUGUCAUACUAAUUAAUGCUUUUAAACCAAUCGGUAUAGAUUCUAUUUUUAGUUUCUUUUGCUUGAUCAAUUUACAUUCCUUUUUUAACCAAAUGCAAGUUCCAAUAUUGCAUUGAUGACAAAUAAAUUAAUUGAGAUUGAAGCUUUCUCUGAUUGAGAAAUCUCUUUUUGUUUAAAUAGUGUUACAAUUUUGUCUUUAUUUUUUUUCCCAAGAGGUGGACUUAAAAAGGAUAAAGUAUGCAAGGGAAUGGUAGGAUCAACAUAUCAAAGGUAGACAUCGAUUUUUUCUCUCAUGUUAAACUUAUAUUGUGAUGUUUAUUAUUAUUAAAUUUUGAAAAAAAAAAAUUGCUUAUCAUAACCUUAUCACAAUACUAAAUAACAGGGAGAGAGAUGAAAAAUAGAGGUAACUAUUUGAUUGUAUGCUUACUUUGGAGAUUUUGUGUAAGAUCCCACAUACUUAUAUGUAUAUUCCCAUCUCUACCUAGCACGAGGCUUUUUGGGAGCUCACUGGCUUCGGGUUCCAUCGGAACUCCGAAGUUAAGCGAGAAGGGGGCUAGAGCACUCCCAUGAUGGGUGACCCACUGGGAAGUUGUUCGUGAGUUCCCAGAAACAAAACCGUGAGGGCCUGGUUCCCGGCCAGGGCCCCACCACAACCUGGGCCCGCUCUACCACCGUAGCACGAUAUUGUCCGUUUUGGGCCCCAACCAUGCCUUCACGGUUUUGUUUCUGGAAACUCACGAUCAACUUCCCAAUGGAUCACCCAUCAUGGGAGUGCUCUAGCCCCUUUCUCGCUUAACUUCAGAGUUCCUAUGGAAUCUGAAGCCAGUGAGCUCCUAAAAGGCCUUAUGCUAGAUAGGAAUGAGAAUAUACAUUUAAGGAUCACUCACCUGGGCGAUGUGGGAUGUCACAAUCCACCCCCUUUAGGGACCCGAUGUCCUCGUCGGCACACUUCCGGCCAGGGAUAGGCUCUGCUACCAAUUGUCACAUCCCGGCUCGGGCCCCCACCACAACCUGGGCCCGCUCCACCAUCGUAGCACGAUAUUGUCCGCUUUGGGCCCCAACCACACCUUCACGGUUUUGUUUCUGGGAACUCACGAGCAACUUCCCAGUGGGUCACCCAUCAUGUGAGUGCUCUAGCCCCCUUCUCGCUUAACUUCGAAGUUUCUACAGAACCCGAAGCCAGUGAGCUCCCAAAAGGCCUCGUGCUAGGUAGGGAUGAGAAUAUACAUUUAAGGAUCACUCAUCUGGACGAUGUGGGAUGUCACACAAUUGACUAAGAAUUUGUUAAAUCAUUUUAACAUGUAUUAUAAUAAGAUAUUUACUUUUUAUGAUACAUUUCUAAUUUUUGCAAAUUACUUGAUUUACUAUUGUUAUAUGGUUUACAGAUUUUUAUGUUAAGUGUGUCACUAUAUUGUUGUAAUAGUUAAAUUGGAUGUAAUAUGAAGUGUUGAGAUAAAACUAGGCACAACUAAUUAUCUUUCACUUCUUGAGAUACAGUCAUUGUUUGAUUUAGCCUAUAACUGAUAAAUCUUUAAUUAUAAUUGGUUUUUUUAGUUUACCUGGAUCAGAACUGAUAACCGUAUAAAAGGGCAGUAAAAAUUAAAGUCUGCCUGUUCUGAUGACAACUGAUAAAUAUACAGUUCUGCACUGUAUACUGGUUGAUGAAAAGGUGAGCAAUCAUUACUUAAUGAUCUUAAGUAAUAACUACUUAGUAUUGCUCAUUGAAAAUUUAUUAAUUGUUUCAAUGCAUAUGAUCUAACAUUUCUGCUUUCUGUAAUAAACACUAUUUAUGAUCUUUAUUUUUUUGGUCAAAAACACUAUUUGGGAUCUGUUUGUCAUCUUUAGACAUUGCUUGAUUUUGUAUUGUCAAAUGAUAUAUAUUUUCAUAAUCACUGUGUCUGUAUAGUAUAUGGAUUAUAUAUAUAUAUAUAUAUAUAUAUAUAUAUAUAUAUAUAUAAUAUUAAGUGUUCUAUUCUUUGUAUUAGAUCUUUUUAUACUUAAACAACUUUUUUUAAGUGUUAAUUAAAAUGAUUAAUUGAUAGUUACUGUUUGCCUAUGCAUAUUCUUGCGUAGUAUUUACUAUGCACAUGCAUAUUCAUGUUAUACUAUAUGUAAUGGUCACUGUUAUUCACUUAUUCACUUGAUAUUUAACAAUAUUUUUUUCUUGCAUUUUUUCCCAUGCUGAAUUGUCAAGCGACAAUCAAUAUAAACUUAUAUGAAUUUUGUUUCUUCAUUGUUAAUUUACUGAUGCUAGGGAUAAUUUAAGCUUCUACAUUCUUAACAUUUUUCAUAUUUGACUUGCAGGAUUAGUGUCAAUGUACACAUUUUUGCAACUAUUUGUUCUGUCUUUCUCCCUCACUCUGUAUAAUUUUAGUCAAAUUGAACUACUCUUUAAAACUUGAGAUUUAACUAAAGUACUUAGAACUUAGUUAAAUGAAAGUUUACUUCGGUUUGAUGACAUUUACAUGAUUAUUAGGUUCACAAUCAUUGGAUGCAUUAUCUUUUAUAUGUUUUAAUCAUAAUGUCAUAAAAUUUUCGAUCCCGCAACAACGCGCAGGUCACACUUCCCGCAGCAACGCACGGGUUAUGCUUUCCAGUAGUAACUAAAGUCUGCUUAGUAGGCCUCCAAGAAAUUGUGGUUUCACCAACAAUACCCGUUUAGGAUAUUGCCAUGCGGGGAUCAAAUAAGUACCCAGCAUCAACAUAACCAACAAAGGAAACUCGAGAACUGGGUGGAGGGGGUGAGGAAGGGACGG